AACGAACGCUGGCGGCAGGCCUAACACAUGCAAGUCGAGCGCGCCCUUCGGGGUGAGCGGCGGACGGGUGAGUAACGCGUGGGAACGUGCCCUUUUCUACGGAAUAGCCUCGGGAAACUGAGAGUAAUACCGUAUACGCCCUUUGGGGGAAAGAUUUAUCGGAAAAGGAUCGGCCCGCGUUGGAUUAGGUAGUUGGUGGGGUAAUGGCCUACCAAGCCGACGAUCCAUAGCUGGUUUGAGAGGAUGAUCAGCCACACUGGGACUGAGACACGGCCCAGACUCCUACGGGAGGCAGCAGUGGGGAAUCUUAGACAAUGGGGGCAAACCUGAUCUAGCCAUGCCGCGUGAGUGAUGAAGGCCUUAGGGCUGUAAAGCUCUUUCAGCUGGGAAGAUAAUGACGGUACCAGCAGAAGAAGCCCCGGCUAACUCCGUG
Molecule: ribosomal RNA, 433 nt
Filed under: uncultured bacterium
Lineage: Bacteria
Description: partial 16S ribosomal RNA
Rfam family: Bacterial small subunit ribosomal RNA
Source: RNAcentral